GGUAGCGCAAUCACUUGUCUUUUAAAUGAAGACCUGUAUGAAUGGUGUAACGAGGGCUUAACUGUCUCCCUUCUCUAGUCAAUGAAAUUGAUCUACCCGUGCAGAAGCGGGUAUACAAAUACAAGACGAGAAGACCCUUUGGAGCUUAAGACACUAAGCCAACCGUGCUAAGAGCCCUUAAUAAAAUAGACUAAACAAAACAACAACUGGCCAACGUCUUCGGUUGGGGCGACCGCGGGGGAAAACAAAGCCCCCAUGUGGACUGGGAAUAUUCCCAAAACCAAGAGAUACAUCUCUAAGUCACAGAACAUCUGACCUACAGAUCCGGCCAUAAGCCGAUCAACGAAACAAGUUACCCUAGGGAUAACAGCGCAAUCCUCUUCAAGAGUCCAUAUCGACAAGAGGGUUUACGACCUCGAUGUUGGAUCAGGACAUCCUAAUGGUGCAGCCGCUAUUAAGGGUUCGUUUGUUCAACGAUUAA
Molecule: ribosomal RNA, 481 nt
Filed under: Megaleporinus muyscorum
Lineage: Eukaryota; Metazoa; Chordata; Actinopteri; Characiformes; Anostomidae
Description: partial 16S large subunit ribosomal RNA
Rfam family: Bacterial large subunit ribosomal RNA
Source: RNAcentral